This 389-nucleotide ribosomal RNA is filed under the name uncultured bacterium. RNAcentral's name for it is "bacterial SSU rRNA". It matches the Rfam family "Bacterial small subunit ribosomal RNA", at positions 774 to 1159 of the family's 1533-position model. The record is from RNAcentral.
ACGUAAUAGAUACCCUGGUAGUCCACGCCCUAAACGAUGUCUACUAGUUGUUGGUGGAGUAAAAUCCAUGAGUAAACGCAGCUAAACGCGUGAAGUAGACCGCCUGGGGAGUACGGUCGCAAGAUUAAAACUCAAAUGAAUUGACGGGGGCCCGCACAAGCGGUGGAUUAUGUGGAUUAAUUCGAUGCAACGCGAAAACCUUACCUGGCCUUGACAUGUAACGAACUUUCCAGAGAUGGAUUGGUGCUCGAAAGAGAACGUUAACACAGGUGCUGCAUGGCUGUCGUCAGCUCGUGUCGUGAGAUGUUGGGUUAAGUCCCGCAACGAGCGCAACCCUUGCCAUUAAUUGCCAUCAUUUAGUUGGGCACUUUAAUGGGACUGCCGGUGAC